Long non-coding RNA from Thrips palmi, 1335 nucleotides. RefSeq lists it as uncharacterized. The transcript is spliced from 5 exons. Lineage: Eukaryota; Metazoa; Arthropoda; Insecta; Thysanoptera; Thripidae. The record is from RefSeq and is a predicted model, not a curated record.
AUCCAUGACCACUAGAAAUGGAUUCAGAGUGUUCCGGAGACUGCCUCCAUUUGGGUCAGCCAAGAAGCCCUGUUUCAUGCGGUGAAACCCACCAGGCAGCGCAACAGAAGGUUAAUUGUUCACCGAAUUCAAACCUGUUCUGUGUCAGAGGAUGAAGUUGUCUCCAUUCCUUUUGAAAUGGUAAUGCAGACAGUGUCAAUUUCCAACACACAUUCAACUCUUCAAGAAAAUAAAGGCCUUGGACUGAAGGAUGAGGCAAGGGUGCAGGUGCUGAAUUUGUGAAAUCAGCUUCUCCAGUUGUAAAGAAAAGCAAAGUUGGACGACAAGGCAGUGCUUUUGUGUGUUGAAGAAUCCCUCCCAGCUUUUUAUGGUAGUGGGACGGCCACUUGCUGACUGGAUGUGAAGGAGUCCGAAGGAGACCGGUGCAGCUCCUUAUGUAGAUCAGGGGAGAAUGAAACAGUGGUGCCAUUACUUUGUCUUCAAAUUCAAGUCAUCCUGAAGGAUUUCUUUGAGCAAGUGCAGCAAGGCCCUGAAGAGUGCCUGGCCAUUGAUUCCUGAAGUCAGCAAGAACUUUUCACAUGAGACCAGCACUACUUCAGCAGUAAUAUGCUGAUGUGAUGGAUUACGAGAAUGGUUUCAGACUUUGGAGUUGGGAGGGCUGCUGAGUGUGUUUGUCAACUUUUGGUGAGUCUGUUCCUUGUUGAGUCUGUGACUGAAUGUACGUGGUGCUACAAAUGUACACAAUUGUCAGCAUUGAAGGUCUUGUUGGCUGGUUAGCUGUAGUGGAAUCUAUCUUGACUCCACGAUGAUUGAAUGAAUGUGAAGGAUCAUCGCAUCACUUUGCAUUUCGAACAGAACAGGCAUUUUCAAUUUGCUCCCACUGUGUGUGGUUGAUGAAUGUACUGGUUAUUCCCUGUGAUAAGUUUGUCAGGCUCAGUUUUCCUGACAACUUAAUCACGGUGAUUCACCUUGGUGGUGCGAGCUGGACAACAGCAGCUUAGAGGGGCAUAAUCCAUGCUGAUAGGUAUCUUAUGCAAAACAUUUCGCCUUUCAGUAUUGUAUCGAAUGAUAUGGUUAUUAAAGUCCUUUCAGUUGUGUGCUCAAAGUAUACAAGGGCCGACUACAGUUCUGGAUGUCUGCUUUCAUCUGAUAUGCCCACCAAGAACUGGAUUUCUCUCUGUCGAGCUGAGAGCUCUACACUGGGCCGGCUCACUGUGAUGAGUUGGGAGCUCUUUUGGGCCGACCUUUUUAAAACCAAACAAUUCACGUUUGGUGGAGGCUGUUUCGUUACAAGUAAUCUUCCUAUUUUGUCACCAUGAUCUGGCAAAGCUGUGU